UAACCAUCGUCGCAAGGCGAUGCUGAACGGCAGAAGUCAGCAGAGGUCAUAGUACCUGCAAAGAGACGUCUAAGCAGGGAAGGAC
Molecule: non-coding RNA, 85 nt
Filed under: Alicyclobacillus tolerans
Lineage: Bacteria; Bacillati; Bacillota; Bacilli; Caryophanales; Alicyclobacillaceae
Source: RNAcentral